GACGAACGCUGGCGGCGUGCCUAAUACAUGCAAGUAGAACGCACAGUUUAUACCGUAGCUUGCUACACCAUAGACUGUGAGUUGCGAACGGGUGAGUAACGCGUAGGUAACCUGCCUGGUAGCGGGGGAUAACUAUUGGAAACGAUAGCUAAUACCGCAUAAUAUUGAUUAUUGCAUGAUAAUUAAUUGAAAGGUGCAAUUGCAUCACUACCAGAUGGACCUGCGUUGUAUUAGCUAGUAGGUGAGGUAACGGCUCACCUAGGCGACGAUACAUAGCCGACCUGAGAGGGUGAUCGGCCACACUGGGACUGAGACACGGCCCAGACUCCUACGGGAGGCAGCAGUAGGGAAUCUUCGGCAAUGGACGAAAGUCUGACCGAGCAACGCCGCGUGAGUGAAGAAGGUUUUCGGAUCGUAAAGCUCUGUUGUAAGAGAAGAACGGGUGUGAGAGUGGAAAGUUCACACUGUGACGGUAUCUUACCAGAAAGGGACGGCUAACUACGUG
Molecule: ribosomal RNA, 505 nt
Filed under: uncultured bacterium
Lineage: Bacteria
Description: partial 16S ribosomal RNA
Rfam family: Bacterial small subunit ribosomal RNA
Source: RNAcentral